RNAcentral lists this ribosomal RNA (492 nucleotides) under uncultured bacterium. Its description in RNAcentral is "partial 16S ribosomal RNA". It matches the Rfam family "Bacterial small subunit ribosomal RNA", at positions 29 to 507 of the family's 1533-position model. The record is from RNAcentral.
AGUGAACGCUGGCGGUAGGCCUAACACAUGCAAGUCGAACGGCAGCACAGUAAGAGCUUGCUCUUACGGGUGGCGAGUGGCGGACGGGUGAGGAAUACAUCGGAAUCUACUUUUUCGUGGGGGAUAACGUAGGGAAACUUACGCUAAUACCGCAUACGACCUACGGGUGAAAGCAGGGGAUCUUCGGACCUUGCGCGAUUGAAUGAGCCGAUGUCGGAUUAGCUAGUUGGCGGGGUAAAGGCCCACCAAGGCGACGAUCGGUAGCUGGUCUGAGAGGAUGAUCAGCCACACUGGAACUGGGACACGGUCCAGACUCCUACGGGAGGGAGCAGUGGGGAAUAGUGGACAAUGGGCGCAAGCCUGAUCCAGCCAUACCGCGUGGGUGAAGAAGGCCUUCGGGUUGUAAAGCCCUUUUGUUGGGAAAGAAAAGCAGCAGGUUAAUACCCCGCUGUUCUGACGGUACCCAAAGAAUAAGCACCGGCUAACUUCGUG